This 468-nucleotide ribosomal RNA is filed under the name uncultured bacterium. RNAcentral describes it as "partial 16S ribosomal RNA". It matches the Rfam family "Bacterial small subunit ribosomal RNA", at positions 28 to 507 of the family's 1533-position model. The record is from RNAcentral.
GACGAACGCUGGCGGCGUGCUUAACACAUGCAAGUCGAGCGGAAAGGCCCUGCUUUUGUGGGGUGCUCGAGUGGCGAACGGGUGAGUAACACGUGAGUAACCUGCCCUUGACUUUGGGAUAACUUCAGGAAACUGGGGCUAAUACCGGAUAGGAGCUCCUGCUGCAUGGUGGGGGUUGGAAAGUUUCGGCGGUUGGGGAUGGACUCGCGGCUUAUCAGCUUGUUGGUGGGGUAGUGGCUUACCAAGGCUUUGACGGGUAGCCGGCCUGAGAGGGUGACCGGCCACAUUGGGACUGAGAUACGGCCCAGACUCCUACGGGAGGCAGCAGUGGGGAAUAUUGCACAAUGGGCGGAAGCCUGAUGCAGCAACGCCGCGUGCGGGAUGACGGCCUUCGGGUUGUAAACCGCUUUCGCCUGGGACGAAGCGUGAGUGACGGUAAUGGGUAAAGAAGCACCGGCUAACUACGUG